Molecule: ribosomal RNA, 439 nt
Filed under: uncultured Fibrobacter sp.
Lineage: Bacteria; Pseudomonadati; Fibrobacterota; Fibrobacteria; Fibrobacterales; Fibrobacteraceae
Description: bacterial SSU rRNA
Rfam family: Bacterial small subunit ribosomal RNA
Source: RNAcentral
UAGGGAAUAUUGCGCAAUGGGGGCAACCCUGACGCAGCAACUCCACGUGUGGGAUGAAGCAUUUCGGUGUGUAAACCACUGUCGAGAGGGAAUAAUUCGGCCUUUCGGGGCCGCUGAAUGUACCUUUAAAGGAAGCACCGGCAAACUUCGUGCCAGCAGCCGCGGUAAUACGAGGGGUGCAAGCGUUGUUCGGAAUCACUGGGCGUAAAGGGAGCGUAGGCGGGCCGCCAAGCGUUCUGUGCAAUCCCGGGGCCCAACCCCGGACCCGCAGAGCGAACUGGCGUCCUUGAGUGGUUCAGAGGCCGGCGGAAUUCCUGGUGUAGCGGUGGAAUGCGUAGAUAUCAGGAAGAACACCGAUGGCGAAGGCAGCCGGCUGGGGACCCACUGACGCUGAGGCUCGAAAGCGUGGGAAGCAAACAGGAUUAGAUACCCUGGUAGU